This 386-nucleotide long non-coding RNA is filed under the name Mus musculus (house mouse). RNAcentral's name for it is "long non-coding RNA chr6:65757935-65758321". The record is from RNAcentral. Lineage: Eukaryota; Metazoa; Chordata; Mammalia; Rodentia; Muridae.
AUGAUCCGAUUCAUCCUCAUCCAGAACGGAGCAGGCAAGAUGCGCCUGACCAAGUGGUACAUGCAGUUCGUUGAUGAUGAGAAGCAGCAGUUAAUCGAGGAGGUGCAUGCCCUGGUCACUGUCAGGGAUGCCAAGUACACAUCUACUGACGCUACGCUGGCCUCUACUUCCGCAUCUGCGUGGACGUCAAUGACAACAAUCUGGCCUAUCUCGAGACCAUCCACAAUUUCAUAGAAGUUUUAAAUGAAUCCUUCCACAAUGUCUGUGAACUGGACUUGGUGUUCAAUUUCUACAAGGUUUAUGCCACAGAUGUUCCAGGCAGGAGAAAUCCAUAGAUCAGCCAGAAAAAGGUGCUGAAGCAGCUGCUGAUGCUGCAGUCCCUGGAG